GCGCUAUUGUAAAACAGUAUAAAGCCAGUUCCAAAAGCUGCUAGGGCAUUGAGUGCUCUUCCUGUCUAUGAUAUACGUGAAUAUACUGCAUCCUUGUUUAUUACAGAUACCUCAUAGAGUCCUCAAGCACAGCAAGAUCGAGACGCAACAAUGGCUCAUAUGGCUGCAUUAUUUUUCCUCAGUGUUAUUCCUGUACAACUUGCCUACCUGGUGGAUGAUACUUGUGAGGGACGGGGAUAUAUUUGCAUAACUUUCUAUCAGUGCGAAGUGAACAAAACACUGCCUUUUAAAGGUUGUCAUGGUUGGAAGAACUGUUGUGAUUAUCCGGAAUAUGCGAAGUGUCAUCACAGAGGAGGAACUUGCAAGUCUGAAUGCCCAAAGUCGGACAUUGAACAUCCGUAUGGACGCUGUUCGACAGAACAGGAAAAGUGCUGCUUAACCUUUGGUCAAAAAUCUAAUCGGUGGUGAACCUCUCCUUUUUUGCUUGAUUGCAAAACAAGACUCUGAAAAAGAAAAUGUCUGGAAAGUCUACUCAACUGCAGGAAAGUACUCUUAUGACUGAGGAAAUAUUCGGCCAGGAUAAUUAGGCAACAAUUCUUAUAUUGUGCAGCAAUAAGAGAUCACAGAGUUCAAGCAGUCCUUCCUUUAUUAAAUACCGAAACACAAGUCUCUCUAGAAGAAAUAAAAGAUAAAGUUUUUCCUGUA
Molecule: long non-coding RNA, 705 nt
Organism: Rhipicephalus microplus (southern cattle tick)
Lineage: Eukaryota; Metazoa; Arthropoda; Arachnida; Ixodida; Ixodidae
Source: RefSeq, a predicted model, not a curated record